RNAcentral lists this long non-coding RNA (225 nucleotides) under Elaeis guineensis (African oil palm). RNAcentral describes it as "long non-coding RNA (EGUI_LNC054343)". The record is from RNAcentral. Lineage: Eukaryota; Viridiplantae; Streptophyta; Magnoliopsida; Arecales; Arecaceae.
UAGAUUGGUUGUUCGCUUAACCAAGGAGUAUGGAGACGUUAGUAUGACAUGCAGAUAAAAUGUAGGAGUACAUUUCACUAAACGUGACCAACUCCGGAGCACUCUGCUGUCAAGAGUCAUUUCGAAGGGAUAAAGGUAUAAGUGUCCCUCCAACUUGAGAUCACCACGGUGACUUGCAAUCAACUCAUUGUGCUUUAGUGCCAGACUACCUAAAUUUUUAACUCA